Non-coding RNA from Struthio camelus australis, 5530 nucleotides. NCBI's taxonomy places the organism in Eukaryota, Metazoa, Chordata, Aves, Struthioniformes, Struthionidae. The record is from RefSeq and is a predicted model, not a curated record.
CUUGCUUUAACAGUUGUUACUCAACCAAGCCCGUCAGUUUCUCAGCCUAGUACUUCACAGAAUGAAGAGAGAGCUCCUGAACUGCCCAAACCAAAGAAGAACAGAUGUUUCAUGUGCAGAAAGAAGGUUGGCCUUACAGGAUUUGACUGCCGAUGUGGAAACUUGUUUUGUGGACUUCACCGUUAUUCUGACAAGCAUAACUGCCCAUAUGAUUACAAAGCAGAAGCUGCAGCAAAAAUCAGGAAAGAGAACCCAGUUGUGGUGGCUGAAAAAAUCCAGAGAAUAUAAACUAACCUACUUAUGAAAAGACUGACUGACUUUGUUUUAUUUUAAUAUAUCCUAGGAAAACAUUAAAGAGCAGAUGCAUGGCCAUUUUCCUUUGAUGUUCUCCAUAGUUUUACUUUUAGUCUUGUCUGUCUUAAUGAUAUUUCAGAAUAUUUGGGUGUUUGUUACAGGCAGAAUUAGAUAGAUACAGCCCUUGAAAAUGUAUAUGCCCUCCCCAGAAUAUAAUUGGAUGAUCAGAACCUGCACAGGAAUACACGUGCACAGAGGACAAACUCUAGUUCACAUGUGCCAAACAGAUGUAUACUAUCUGCAUGUUUGCAGCAGAUCUGCCUUUUGAGGAGUGUUUGGAGUGUAUAAUCUUUGGCUAGUGUUAUGUGCCUGUUUGGGAGAAGGAUACAUCGGAAAGGUUUGCAGUCUACUUCUAUCAUUUAAAAUCUCAUUCUAAUUUUAGUUUCCACACUCCAUUGUUUUCCAGCAGAACGUAAGCUAUGUAGGCGAGUCCGUCUUAAGAAACAGUUGCUUAACAAUUGCAGUGGGAAAAGCGAAACAAUUGGACAUGUAUGAGAAGAGAACUCUUUUGGAAACAAUUACAUUAACUUGAGAAUCAUGGAAAAUAGGUUCCCAAAGGAAGUGUCCUGUAAGGAACUUAUGAACUGGCCGGCAACAGAGUUGUCUGCUUUUCCUUGCAUAGCUAGAAAUGUUGUGUAGCACAGUAUUGUAAGAUUGGUUUACAAAACAAAAGCUACAUAUGUUUUUUAGACAUACCACAGCAGCUCAAGCGACACACGUACAUCUGAGUAAGUUGCAGAAGUAUUUGAACAGUUUAUUAUUCAUGUACUACUUACGUUCUGGGUAAGUUCUAAUGUGUUCUGGGUUCAAAAGAGUAUUAGGAGCUUUUUUAUUUUUCCUGAUUUUGAAAUGUAACAAUUGCACCAUUCUGCAUGGAAAACUGUACCCAACAUGGCUGCUGUAGACUUAAGUGGUAGCUGGAACCACUCUUGGAGGGCUGCUUUAUCAUUUUUAAUUGUACUUGGGUCUAGGACUGUAGUGUUCUUGGGUGUAUUGCAUGGGCUGCAUUAUCUACAGCAUUGUACAAUAACAACUCUAGAAAAGGCAGUAUACUUCACUGAUGCUUGUCUGGUAAUAUCACUUCUGUGUUAUAAUGGAAGGUUUUUUGUGAUGUAUGAAACUUGUGUUUUUUAUAUAAACGAGUACAGUUUAGACUAGUGUUGUGGUAAUGCCUGUUCUCAUCUGUAAAUAGUUACGUAUGUACACAAGGCGCUAAUUCUGAUUUCUGUUGCAGUGUUCAGUCUUAGUUCUUACUUCACUAUUAAAAGCAUCAGGUUUUUGCUUUAACUUUCUUCUUUCAAUUGAGUUAUUAGAUAUGCAAACAUGUACAGAUAGUUCAUAUUUAUGUAUUGCACAUAAUCAUGCUACCCAGCAUCUAUGCUAUAUUGUAUUAUGUAAAUAAUAAAAAUCAUGUACAGAAGGAAAUACUUCCUUUUGUGAUAGUUCAUUGGUUUUAGUUAUUGCCCUAACCUGAAGUUGACCUUGUGGAGAUUGGGCUACAAAGUUAGUUCUAGUUUUGUAUAGAUGUUGUCUUUUUGCUUCAACCUGCCUAUUUCUAACCUUUGUUUCUUAUAUUGACAUACUAACUUGUCUAAGAUGGCUUGUUGAGGUCAGAGAAGCAUGAACAGCUGGAAUACAGAUAACUACUUCAUGGCCAGACAAGAAUGUCAGAAACGACGACGCGCUUAAAGGGAACAAAGCAAAGCAUUUGCAGUGAACUUUAAAGGCUUUUUUUUUUUCUUUUGCCUACAAAUGUUAUUUCCAGCGGAUCAGUAGUAAUAGAGCCAGUACAGUGACUGCGUUGUUCUGUCCAAAUCUUCAUCAGCAGGCCUGGGCAGAGUUGUUGGGGUCUGAAUAUGGAUGUCAAAUAUGCCAGACCUACCCUUCCCAAUGACAAAGAAAAGUACAGAGCAUACAGCACAUUUUGACUUGGAAGAAGCUAUCUUCAUUGCUGGAUUAAAAUAUAACAGUUGCUUAUACCAGAAAUGGAUAAUGUGCAUCCCACCAGUCAGCUGAAAGUAACACCCGAGUGAUAAGUUCCUGCUGCUGCCACUAUAUAUACUUCUGAUAAGGGAACAAGGGCAUGCUUUGGGCCUUCAUUUGACAGGAUAAACUUUAUGACUUGUAAUUGUGGAACUGCUUUAAAGCACUGAAUUUUUUUCCACCUUUUGUACUAAGCAAAAUCAACUACUCAGCUGCAGCAUAAAAUGCUUUUCUCAUUUGAAUCUGAGAACACUUUGGAACUGGAUGUUUAAAGAGAAUGUAUCCAUAUUUGUGAUAUUGUUAUGGCUAGAACAUUUUUAGGAAGGUUAGCUGUGCUGAUACCAGUACUUAGUGAAUCUGAUGUUCUUGAUCUCACCUCUGUCUGCUUUUUCAUCUGAACCAAGACUGUACUUGGGAAGGCUUGUUGAAAUCGUAGAUCUCAGUAGAUCUGUGAAAGAAAGUAUGGAAUGAGAAAUCUCUCAUUGUUCUGUAUGUCAUGAACUGUCUCGUGUGUAUUGCCUACAGGUGAGGUAUUCUAAACUGUAUUCUAAACUAAGUUUAUAAGCUCCACUGAGCUUUAUUAAUAAUUCUUACAGGGUAUGUAAUCAUUCAGGAGUCCUAGUUCUGUUGAGGCUCAUCAAGAAUUCAGAUAGGAGGAAGCUUGUUUAGUAAGAGCAGGUAAUGAAAAGUGUAGUAAAUGUAUAUUUAAACUUCAAUGCAAACGCUGCAGUACAUCUUUGUUGGCAAAAAGGGAUACGAAUAUAGGUGCAAAGAGUUCCCCCAAUUUAACUUGGGAGACUGGUAUAGACUCUUAAAAUAAACGGCUGACUCCCACUGUAUUGCCAGUCACAGUCAGUCUGGGUACAUUAUCAGAAGUAUUAAAAUGCUUUGAGGAAAAGAGGAUUAAAAAGGUAAAAGUUCAAGCACAGGCCAUUCAUAAAGCUGCUGUAGAUGGGCUAUCUUCUGGUCUUUAGAUUUGAAGUGACAAAUGGCCACAAACAGUGUACUCUCUUUCCAAGAAAGAAACACGAUCGCUUCACAUGAUACUAGUCCUUAUUUAACAUUUGGCUGUUAGACUGAGAUGUUAUUAACUUGUACAUAAACAUGCUGUUCUGGAAAGGUUCUUCUGUGCCCCUGACAAGUUCAUCAGAUCAUGGGGAUUCUUUUUUUAUUUAGGGCAUUUAAGAAUAAUAAACGGAUAAGCAGAUGAAAGCAGCUAGGUGACUGAAGACUUAUUUGGUAGUCUUUAAUUUUGUAAAUGUUUAGCUUCAUCUUUAGCUUUGGCUGUACAAUAGGGUGGUCCAUAGGAUUCUGUGCAAACUUACUCCUAGCUGUUAAACCCCAGAUCUGGAGAAUGAAUGACAAGCUUCCUGUGGUGUUUCCAACCUGUCACUAUAAGGCUGAUGAACUGCCAGGUGACUUGGCUGGUUGCAGUAGGUGUAAGAAUGUAAUGGGGUUGAGAAGCCCUGACUAUAUCCUGUGAUCUUGCUGGUAUUCGGCCCGUUUGGUAUUUCUGAUGAUCGGUUAUUUUAAACUGAAAUAUCACAGAUUCACAGGCAUACUGUUUGAGCUGUAAUGCUUAGUUUGGAUUAUAAAUGAUUCAGAAGCAGCUUUGGCUCUUUGGACCACCAUAUAAAGUAGCUGUUUGACUUUGUCUCUGUGGGGCUAAUAGACUUUCUUCCCGUAUUUUGCCUAUCUCCCACCAACUGAGAAUGGAAGAUCUAAUGUUAAGCCAAUUAGAUAACUGAUUUAGACCUUGAUUCUUUUUUAAUACAGCUGCAUGACACAUUUCAGCAUAGCAUAAAAAAGUGUAUAAAUUGUUCCUUUACAUGCAUCUCUUAAAAUAAAAUCAAAUUAAGAUAAUAUGUAAAUGAAUUUAGCUUUUAAAUGUUGCUAUUGACUUUUUUCACUUUCUAUUAACUGUUUUUGACCGCAGCUCUUGACAUGAUUUGGGGUUAACAAGCCAACUGUCACUGAUUAUUUCAUUCUUGAUCUUGUAAAUAAUGAGUUUGAUUAACAAAUAUAAUGAGGCUUUUGUGUGUGUGUGUGUGUGAUGUUUGAUGCGUUUUUAUGGAUAAAACCAGGCGAAAGAGGAUGAAGACUUUCAGUAUAAAGUGUUUGUGAGGCACUGGCAAACUUGUGCUUCUAAAGUUUUCUCUUCAGUUUAAUUAUUUCCUGUUGCAUUACAAUAAUGUAACUUUUGUACAUAUAUAUGUGCUUUACUAUACUGAAAAGAUUAAGGAAUGUUUUUAAAUUUUCAGGCAUUUAGCUUUUUCUUGUUUAAAAUCACGUCUGAAAGCUGUAUCUGCCCUUUUUUUCCCUCCCUCGUCUUUCCAUAAUGGAAGGAAAAAGAAAUAGUCUUGCUGUCUGUGUAUAUGCAAUUUUAAUAUUAGUUUUUAUUAGUUUUAGUUUCCCGGCCAGCCAAAUGAUACAUUUUUUCACAAAUAACCUAUUGCAACUCUCUUUAUAAUUAAACUUAAAUACCCUGGAAGCUGCACGGGCUAUGCUCUCAGAUUCGCAACACAAAGGACAGUGCUUCUGAAAGUAACUGGAUAUUAUUGGAAGUAAUUGACAAAUCUGAACAGUUGACUGAGGGGAACAGCCUAUAAGAGAACCUGAGCUGGAGAAAGAGUGACUGCAUGCGGAAGUGUUAAACCAUAGUCCAAACCAUAGAGCAAAGUUCUCUCUGUGAGUGCAGUAAUGAGGUCAAUUUCCAAUGGAAGAAAGUUUUAAAUGUGAUUUCAAGACUUUGGGUUUCCCCUCAGAGUCUACCAUAAACACUCAGCAAAACGUACUUUAGCUGUUAAAUUGCCCAUGCUAAUACUAACUUAGCAGUGGUCAAAGAAUAAACAUGUUUCAUUUUUAUUUGCUAUGUCUGAAGAAAAUUCCGAGACCAUUUGAGCUUAACGUUGAGAGCAAACCUAUCAAAGGGCAGGCCCGUCAGCAUGAGGAAACAGAACAGAGGACCAGAUUCUUAACUCAGAAAGAUCUGAAUUCAAUGAAAGAAGCAAGUAUUGGCAUAUGGGAUGCAAAGGAGCAGAAUAGCAGCAGCCUGUAAUUUAAAUGAAAUGAGAAUAGAGGUGUAAAACCGAUAUAAGAUGGCACUGUUAAAAGAAGAGCAAGAAUAAACACCUACAGUAGCAAUCCAGAAUACUGCAGUUUGAAUGCUUAUUCGCUAUAGAUACAAAUCUGU